Paramuricea clavata is the source of this 302-nucleotide non-coding RNA. The record is from the annotation of a GenBank genome assembly. NCBI's taxonomy places the organism in Eukaryota, Metazoa, Cnidaria, Anthozoa, Malacalcyonacea, Plexauridae.
GCCAACCGAGCGCGUUAAUAGCCGCUGUUAUUUUGACAGAAUAUGAUACCUCUACACUUUUCAGCCGUAAUACAUAAUGCGCGCAUUGUAAAUUUGUAAUCAUAUGCAUAUCGUUUAAUUUAGUUUCAAAAACUUGAUAAAAUCAAAAUUGCUGUAUUUAGUUAAAUGUAAAAUGCGCAGGAUGUUGCGUACAUUAACAAAGAAAAAAAGUUGAUUACAAUGCGCGCUGAAAAUUACGGCUGAAAAGUGUAGAGCCUAGAGGUAUCAUAUUCUGUCAAAAUAACAGCGGCUAGCCGGUUGGC